Molecule: ribosomal RNA, 490 nt
Filed under: uncultured bacterium
Lineage: Bacteria
Description: partial 16S ribosomal RNA
Rfam family: Bacterial small subunit ribosomal RNA
Source: RNAcentral
AUUGAACGCUGGCGGCAGGCCUAACACAUGCCAGUCGAACGGUAACAGGAAGAAGCUUGCUUCUUUGCUGACGAGUGGCGGACGGGUGAGUAAUGUCUGGGAAACUGCCUGAUGGAGGGGGAUAACUACUGGAAACGGUAGUUAAUACCGCAUAACGUCGCAAGACCAAAGAGGGGGACCUUCGGGCCUCUUGCCAUCGGAUGUGCCCAGAUGGGAUUAGCUAGUAGGUGGGGUAACGGCUCACCUAGGCGACGAUCCCUAGCUGGUCUGAGAGGAUGACCAGCCACACUGGAACUGAGACACGGUCCAGACUCCUACGGGAGGCAGCAGUGGGGAAUAUUGCACAAUGGGCGCAAGCCUGAUGCAGCCAUGCCGCGUGUAUGAAGAAGGCCUUCGGGUUGUAAAGUACUUUCAGCGGGGAGGAAGGGAGUAAAGUUAAUACCUUUGCUCAUUGACGUUACCCGCAGAAGAAGCACCGGCUAACUCCGUG